RNAcentral lists this ribosomal RNA (1370 nucleotides) under uncultured bacterium. RNAcentral describes it as "bacterial SSU rRNA". It matches the Rfam family "Bacterial small subunit ribosomal RNA", at positions 28 to 1381 of the family's 1533-position model. The record is from RNAcentral.
GAUGAACGCUGGCGGCGUGCCUAAUACAUGCAAGUCGAGCGAACGGACGAGAAGCUUGCUUCUCUGAUGUUAGCGGCGGACGGGUGAGUAACACGUGGAUAACCUACCUAUAAGACUGGGAUAACUUCGGGAAACCGGAGCUAAUACCGGAUAAUAUUUUGAACCGCAUGGUUCAAAAGUGAAAGACGGUCUUGCUGUCACUUAUAGAUGGAUCCGCGCUGCAUUAGCUAGUUGGUAAGGUAACGGCUUACCAAGGCAACGAUGCAUAGCCGACCUGAGAGGGUGAUCGGCCACACUGGAACUGAGACACGGUCCAGACUCCUACGGGAGGCAGCAGUAGGGAAUCUUCCGCAAUGGGCGAAAGCCUGACGGAGCAACGCCGCGUGAGUGAUGAAGGUCUUCGGAUCGUAAAACUCUGUUAUUAGGGAAGAACAUAUGUGUAAGUAACUGUGCACAUCUUGACGGUACCUAAUCAGAAAGCCACGGCUAACUACGUGCCAGCAGCCGCGGUAAUACGUAGGUGGCAAGCGUUAUCCGGAAUUAUUUGGGCGUAAGCGCGCGUAGGCGGUUUUUUAGUCUGAUGUGAAAGCCCACGGCUCACCGUGGAGGGUCAUUGGAAACUGGAAAACUUGAGUGCAGAAGAGGAAAGUGGAAUUCCAUGUGUAGCGGUGAAAUGCGCAGAGAUAUGGAGGAACACCAGUGGCGAAGGCGACUUUCUGGUCUGUAACUGACGCUGAUGUGCGAAAGCGUGGGGAUCAAACAGGAUUAGAUACCCUGGUAGUCCACGCCGUAAACGAUGAGUGCUAAGUGUUAGGGGGUUUCCGCCCCUUAGUGCUGCAGCUAACGCAUUAAGCACUCCGCCUGGGGAGUACGACCGCAAGGUUGAAACUCAAAGGAAUUGACGGGGACCCGCACAAGCGGUGGAGCAUGUGGUUUAAUUCGAAGCAACGCGAAGAACCUUACCAAAUCUUGACAUCCUUUGACAACUCUAGAGAUAGAGCUUUCCCCUUCGGGGGACAAAGUGACAGGUGGUGCAUGGUUGUCGUCAGCUCGUGUCGUGAGAUGUUGGGUUAAGUCCCGCAACGAGCGCAACCCUUAAGCUUAGUUGCCAUCAUUAAGUUGGGCACUCUAAGUUGACUGCCGGUGACAAACCGGAGGAAGGUGGGGAUGACGUCAAAUCAUCAUGCCCCUUAUGAUUUGGGCUACACACGUGCUACAAUGGACAAUACAAAGGGCAGCGAAACCGCGAGGUCAAGCAAAUCCCAUAAAGUCGUUCUCAGUUCGGAUUGUAGUCUGCAACUCGACUACAUGAAGCUGGAAUCGCUAGUAAUCGUAGAUCAGCAUGCUACGGUGAAUACGUUCCCGGGUCU